GACGAACGCUGGCGGUGUGCUUAACACAUGCAAGUCGAACGGUAAGGCCCUUUCGGGGGUACACGAGUGGCGAACGGGUGAGUAACACGUGAGUAACCUGCCCUCAUCUCUGGGAUAACAGUCGGAAACGGUUGCUAAUACUGGAUAUGAGCUUGCAAGGCAUCUUGUGGGUUGGAAAGAUUUUUUUUGGUUGGGGAUGGACUCGCGGCCUAUCAGCUUGUUGGUGAGGUAGUGGCUCACCAAGGCUUCGACGGGUAGCCGGCCUGAGAGGGCGACCGGCCACAUUAGACCUGAGAGACGGCCCAAACUCGUGCGGGAGGCAGCAGGGGGGAAUAUUGCACAAUGGACGGAAGUCUGAUGCAGCAACGCCGCGUGCGGGAUGACGGCCUUCGGGUUGUAAACCGCUUUCAAUUGUGACGAAGCUUUUUUGUGACGGUAGCAGUAGAAGAAGCACCGGCUAACUACGUG
RNAcentral lists this ribosomal RNA (468 nucleotides) under uncultured bacterium. Its description in RNAcentral is "partial 16S ribosomal RNA". It matches the Rfam family "Bacterial small subunit ribosomal RNA", at positions 28 to 507 of the family's 1533-position model. The record is from RNAcentral.